UGCUUUGUAUGGUAUGUUACCUCUGAUCAGUACUCCGUUGCUUAUACAGUUAAAAGCAACGGAGUACCGAUCAGAGGUAACAUACAAUAAAAAGCAAC
Brachypodium distachyon (stiff brome) is the source of this 98-nucleotide non-coding RNA. The record is from RefSeq and is marked provisional. NCBI's taxonomy places the organism in Eukaryota, Viridiplantae, Streptophyta, Magnoliopsida, Poales, Poaceae.